Molecule: small nuclear RNA, 100 nt
Filed under: Phascolarctos cinereus (koala)
Lineage: Eukaryota; Metazoa; Chordata; Mammalia; Diprotodontia; Phascolarctidae
Source: RNAcentral
GUGCUUUGGCAGCACAUAUACUAAAAUUGGAAUGAUAUGGAAAUUUGCAUGGCCCCUGCACAGGAAUGACGUGCAAAUUCAUGAGACGUUCCAUAUUUUU